CUCAGCUGACGUCACCAUGAUAGUGACAUCUAACAACCUAACAACCUGUAAACACUGUUCUAUACAAACUACUGAUGUCUAACAACUGAUUAUAAGUAAAAUACAAAACAUAGGAAAACUACUGCUUCACUUUCCACUGAUGUAGCCUGAGCACUGAUGUUGAGCAUCAGUGCUUUCUUCAAAGGUGAUCAGUCUUUGAAUGGGCAUGGUUUGCUUGUGUCUUCAGCAGUACUUAGGAAACAGCAGUAGAUAGAGCGUCAGUGCUUGUCUUCAGCAGUCUUUAGAGUUUCAUCAGUGUUUGGUUCAUCAGUUGUUCUAUUGAGCAGUACUUGAGAUCUAUCAGCUGUUAGAUAACCACUGUCAAGGGGAAAGCUUUAAAGUAAACAACUGCUUAUUUAGAAUCCACUGUCAUGAUCCGGUUUUGGCUUUCAUUAUCUGUUCCUCUGGUAGGGUUCAAUCCCAAC
This 464-nucleotide long non-coding RNA is filed under the name Helianthus annuus (common sunflower). Lineage: Eukaryota; Viridiplantae; Streptophyta; Magnoliopsida; Asterales; Asteraceae. The record is from RNAcentral.